UCAGACGUUAAUAAAUGGUUUUCCCUUUUCUUCCCUCUUAUAUAGGGGUUUUUUUUUUUGUUCAACAUAUGAUGAUCGACCUUUGAAAAUUAAUAGCCAAAGGAAGAUUAUAUCGUGUGUAUCCGUUAAUUAUCCCAAGCACUGCUGAGGUGAAUACCCUUUUUUAUCGUAACUUAAUUAUAAAACUAUUUUGUAAUGAUUGUAGUAUAUGAUAUUGUUCUAAGCAUUCAAUUUUUUUUCUAUUGCGAACUAAUUACAACUUUAUUUUGAUAUUUUGUUGAUUUUGAAUUAUUUUGUUUUCUAGAUGCCAGCAUCUUUGGUUAAGAAAGCUUAAUAAUGAGGUAAUAAUGCAAUUGAGACCUAAAUCUUAGAAUGCCCACGAGCACUAUAUCGUUAAUCAAUUUUAAGAAAAAAAACUCAGUUAUUAUUUUCUUUAGUUUGUAAUAUAUAAUAAUUUUUACCGGUAGUUAGUAGUUUCAUUUUGUGCGGAAUUUGCAUAUCAUAAGGUUCAUCAAGUUGAUAAAAGAUGAAUGGCCUUAUGCAAUAUUGAUAACUAGAAUCUUAAUUAUGUUUAUGCUUAAUGAUAUUACAUGUAAGUUUAAUUGAGUAUUUCAGAAAUCUUUAUUCACGAAGUUUUAUCUGAAUUUUUGUUGUUGAAUUCUGUUGAUGCUCCAACUGAAAAGUUUUCUAAUUAGUUUUCUUGAAUUUGUUUGAGUUUUGUCGCAGGGUCUGGGGGUGUGAUUUUUUUAAAUGGUUGGAUCAACAUGAUGAAUUGUUCUUGAAGAAUUAUAGUUUGAUACUUUGAAAGACCAAAAAAGGGAAGAUAAUGCUACUAUCUCCUAGUCAGUAAUUAGUUAGAUAGGAUAUGUAUGUCUAAGAUAGAUAUUGAAUUGUAUUGCACAUCCUCUUUAGUGUGAUGUAAUUGUCAUUUGUUUAUCUUAAGAAUUACUUUUUACUUAUUUGUAAAUAACAAAAAUUGUUUUUUUUUUUGUUGUAAAUAUGUAUGUUAGGAGAAGCGUUUGUUAGAAUAUUUUAUUGCUUUUCUUUAUUUAAAUAGUAGUACUUGAAUCAUUACUAAAUGAUGUACAUCAAGAGAAAAAGGAAUAGAGGGUGU
RNAcentral lists this long non-coding RNA (1114 nucleotides) under Nicotiana tabacum (common tobacco). Its description in RNAcentral is "long non-coding RNA (NTAB_LNC017044)". The record is from RNAcentral. Lineage: Eukaryota; Viridiplantae; Streptophyta; Magnoliopsida; Solanales; Solanaceae.